RNAcentral lists this ribosomal RNA (461 nucleotides) under uncultured microorganism. RNAcentral's name for it is "bacterial SSU rRNA". It matches the Rfam family "Bacterial small subunit ribosomal RNA", at positions 9 to 471 of the family's 1533-position model. The record is from RNAcentral.
GAGUUUGAUCUUGGCUCAGAUUGAACGCUGGCGGCAGGCCUAACACAUGCAAGUCGAGCGGAUGAAGGGAGCUUGCUCCUGGAUUCAGCGGUGGACGGGUGAGUAAUGCCUAGGAAUCUGCCUGGUAGUGGGGGAUAACGUCCGGAAACGGGCGCUAAUACCGCAUACGUCCUGAGGGAGAAAGUGGGGGAUCUUCGGACCUCACGCUAUCAGAUGAGCCUAGGUCGGAUUAGCUAGUUGGUGGGGUAAAGGCCUACCAAGGCGACGAUCCGUAACUGGUCUGAGAGGAUGAUCAGUCACACUGGAACUGAGACACGGUCCAGACUCCUACGGGAGGCAGCAGUGGGGAAUAUUGGACAAUGGGCGAAAGACCUGAUCCAGCCAUGCCGCGUGUGUGAGAAGGUCUUCGGAUUGUAAAGCACUUUAAGUUGGGUAGGAAGGGCGAGUAAGUUAAUACCUUG